CAGCUUCGAUUUGUAAAUCAAAUACGAACUCUCAAACAUACACAAACACAGACGAUCGAUAUUGGAUAUGGUUUUCGUACGUGAUCCCUGUGGCAUUAUCUGCCUGAUUGCUACCUAUGGCGCCGUUAUCUAUGCAGAUUACGUGGUAAUUUGCUGGAUAAUACCGGCAACAAUGCCACUAAGUAUUGGGGUCUUACAUGUUGUGCUCUUCAAUACGGUUGUCUUCCUGCUAGGCAUGUCGCAUUCGAAAGCAGCUUUCUCAGAUCCGGGCUUUGUAUCGCUGCCCGCCAAGCGGCUUGACUUCUCCGAUUCACACUCUGGCAAUGGCCGUGGUACUGAAUGGACUUUGUGCACGCUCUGCGAGAUUUAUAGGCCACCACAGGCCCAUCAUUGUACGAUAUGCCAGCGAUGCAUACGCCGCAUGGAUCAUCAUUGUCCGUGCAUUAACAAUUGUGUGGGCGAGUGCAAUCAGAAGUACUUUCUACAGUUUCUCUUCUAUGUGGGCAUUCUCUGUCUCUACUCCGUGGCGCUGGUACUCGUCUCUUGGAUAUUUCCGUGCACGGAAUGCAGUCUGAGUUUAAUUGAGACCCAAUUGAUGCAUACCAUAGUUUUGAUGAUGGAAUCGACUUUGUUUGGUCUGUUUGUGACCCUCAUAAUGCUGGAUCAGCUGAACGUCAUAUUGUACGAUGAGUCGGUGUUCGAGACGAGAGAGCAAAAGGGUGCAUAUUGGUCAAAAAGUCGUAGAUAUCAAAUGUUGGCGAAAGUAUUUGGCCCAGGGCAUCCGAUGCUUUGGCUUCUGCCCCGCGCUAGCCUAAAUGACGCCACACGCAAUCACGGCGCGGCGCUGCUCAGCCACGAAGUGUAGAAGCUGCGUCCUACAAAUCCUUUAUCUUAUAUGUUUCCUUCUGAUGGUCCCAACGGCCGCCAAAAUCAAUACAUUCCAGUUCGCUGCCCAGGCCCUCGACGCUGAUUGUGAGCUGUUGGAGCGCCUGUCUGGCUACACUGCAGAGGAUGCCCUCCUGGGAGUUUUGAUCCUCGUGCUGGAGGAUCGCCACACACUCCUUCAGCAGAUCAAUGGCAUCCACGAGCUGCCCACGCAACUCACCGCCACUCAGUUUAUUGGCUAUGAAGCCGCUUUUGGCCAGCAGCACUAGCGGCACAUGCAGCUCAUAGAGAUUCAUUGCCCGUGCACGACUCAGGCCCGGCUCAAAGAUGUUCAGCACACGCAACACAUCACGGCAGAGAAUCGCCUUGCGUUCCAGCAGCUGGUCUGUGAGCUGGACCAUCUCGUAGCCCUGCACACGGCCGUACAUCUCGAUGAGCAGCUGGCGCAAACUGGUGGCAAUGUAGUGCGAUGGAUGCAACAGGGAUUUGUAUUUGCGCAGCAAACGUUCCGCUUCCUCCAGACGCUUGGGACCCAUGUCGAGAGCCUGCACAGCAUUCACCUCGGCCUGCAGUGCGUCCACAAUUUGCCGCACAUCCUCGGCACUUGUGCUGUAAUCGCACGACCGGCAGCUCCAACUGCUGUCCACGACUGCAAAGAGAGAAGGGGCACUGCUUAGUCACAGUAUAUAUGUAUAUCGGAAAUGUGUGAAAAGCAAAUGGAAUACCCGUUGGCUGCUUGGGCAGCAGCCAGCCCUCGGUGCACUGGCCACACUUCAGGCUGGAGAAAUGUGUCUGCAGUUCGCUGGCAUCCAGGCAACGUUCGCAGCUGCACACAAAGUAUUUGCCCUCGCGCAGAUGCGCCUGUCGCUGUGCUGUGCCGUCCAAGGUGUAGGUGUAGCUGUGCUGCAGCUGCUGGCCCUCUUCCAGGGCGACCAUGGCACGCAAGCGAAUCCUACAGGAAAUGGAAUGGAAGUUAAAAGCUGUUGACUACCGCGAGCUCCACUCACUUGUAGCCCUCGCUGGGAUGAAUGGUACGCGCCGUGUUCGGCACACAAUUGUGGGCCAAUAUGCCCGUGUAGGGGAACAGGCAGCGCAAGGGGUAGCCCUGGCUGGUGCGUGCCUCGAAUGCAUUUACCUCCAGCACGCCCACCACCUGCAUGAUGAGCUCCUCACUGAAGCGGUCCGCCAGCUUGCACGGACCGCGCAGAUAUUGGGCAAUAUUCACACGGUCCGCAUGCCAGACAUCCGCAUUCUCGCGCCGCUCCAGCUCAUGAUGCUCCAUGGGCGCCACUUCAUUUAGCCAACGCUCCGGCUGUGCCUCCUUCGCCAGCAGUACUCUACGACGGAUAUAAGUAAACGAAAAGGAAUUUAAUAAAAAAAAAAAAAAAACAAAAUGUUGGCACUAG
Molecule: RNA transcript, 2291 nt
Organism: Drosophila mojavensis
Lineage: Eukaryota; Metazoa; Arthropoda; Insecta; Diptera; Drosophilidae
Gene name: palmitoyltransferase ZDHHC3-like
Exons: 4
Source: RefSeq, a predicted model, not a curated record